RNAcentral lists this long non-coding RNA (7612 nucleotides) under Nicotiana tabacum (common tobacco). RNAcentral's name for it is "long non-coding RNA (NTAB_LNC005830)". The record is from RNAcentral. Lineage: Eukaryota; Viridiplantae; Streptophyta; Magnoliopsida; Solanales; Solanaceae.
GGGAUUUGUAUGCCCAAAUUCAAGUUUAGAGAAGAAACACAGCAGCAGUAACAAGGCAUCAUUCCAAGAUCAUUCACGAAUUAGAGAUAUGUCUUCUGUUGUUAGGAAUUUACUCCUCGUCUAUGCCAGUUCUCUGUAUUCAAUACAAUAGCAUUAGAUUUUGUUCUAAUCUGUUUAAUGCAAAGACUAGGUUCUCAUUGCUUCAUAUGUACAGGGGAAUGCCCCUCUUAGCUUCUGAAACAACUAGCAAUUCGUUUCGCUCAUACUAAAUAAAAGUAUCCCGAUUUAAUUCAAAUAUUUUUCCAAGGCUUAUUUAUAUGUUUGUUAUCUAGCUUAUUUUCCUGUUGCCUUUAAACCUUUAUUUCUAAGCCUGAGAUUAAUAAAAAAAAAGGUGUAACUAUUUGUAAGAAGCUUAGCAACAGAAAUAAGGAUCUUACCAUCAAUUAACUUCAUAUUAUAUUUUUUCUAUUUAUUUCUAUUAUAUAGAAAAGGAAAGAUGUCGAUCAAGGGCAAAAUUGUCAUUUUGCUCAAAGGAAAAAGUGCCUUCCAUCAUUUUUGACACACACGACAGAGUCUAGAAUCUGCUCUCGUCUUCCGUCUCUUCUAUUCCAACCGAUGGAGGAGUUUCAGUUCGCCUUCUUCAAACUUUCAACAAUACUCGUAGCUCUUUUCGUCUUCUUAUCUAUCUAUUAGAUUUCAGGCAUUAUUCGCUCAAUCCUUGCUCGCAUCUUCUUUGUUUUCUCUUUGUCUUCUUUUCUUUCUUUGCUACUUUUAGAUCUAUUUAACUGUUUUCAAUUUCAUGGAUAAAUUUCCUUGGAUUUUGUAUUUUCCAACCAGAUGAUGCGGAAUUACCAUUUUAAGGGCUAUUCUCCGUCCAAUUUCAUUGAUGUUGCCUUCUUCUUGCUGAUUCACCUCUAUCUCUUCUUCUUCAUAAGGUAUUGAAAUUUAUUGUUCUACUAACUUAAAACAAAAAGGAUAUUUAAUUUUACUCCUAAUUCAUGUUGUUCUUCCUUUUCUUUACAUUUUUUGUAUAUGUUAUAUUUCUAUGAAUUGUGAAUCGCGAGUAUGUUUUCAGGCUCUUCUUAACUGCCUCUGCGCACACCCCUCACUCUCCAUAGCCGAGGAAAAGAACAGUAAGAACUCAUGAUAACCUAAUUUUGAUAAAGCACUAAAAUUGGUGUAUGGGUUGAGAUUGAAAUAAAGUGAAUGAAUUAAGUCAAAUGGCUAUUGGGAAAAAUUUAUGCAUAUAAAUUUCUAUUGACAGAUUUUAUUCAUUAUUUCAUGUCUUAGGAAUGCUUAAUUAGGCUUAAGAUGAUUUGGGAACUUUUCUUAAAAGUUGUGUUCGAGCAACAUCUGAUUGUUUAAACUUAAAUUCAUUUAUCUGGCUACAAAUUUAUGGAAUAAGGAAGGUAUGUUAAAGGGCAUGUAAUGGGAUUGCUUUAUAUGAUGACUCAUUGUUGUUGAUGGGAUUUGAAAGUAGAGGAAUAUUUAAAAGUAGAGGAGUAGGAAGUAGAGCACCGAGGAUUGAUAAAGAUUGUAUGAAGUUGCAAGACACUAAUGGUCCAGAAAAAGGACGAGAAAAUAGCACAGAUAUCCAAAACUUUAAGAAGCAGACAAGAGGAAUAGAGAUGUAAGGACAUGUAUAAGAGGAUACCUAAGCCAAGGAAGUAGCUUAAUUUUUUUUAUUUUUUUAUUCCUUGUUUAUUGGCAUCCACUGAUACAAUGUGUGUUCAACUAUAAAUUAUAGUUGUUUGUCUUAUUGGAAAUUCUCAUUCACCCAUCUUUAAGCCUAAUUUGUCUUAUUUUCUACUGAUAUGUCCAUGUCUUAUUAUCAACAUAUGUUAUCUUCACCUAUACUUUCUUAUUAUUCUCUACUUUUAUGCAAUUUUAUUAGAAUAUUCUUUAAGUUUGUAUUUUAUUAAGAUAUUUUGUCCAAAAGUAUAAGUGACGGAUGGAUCUUUCCAUCUUGCAUACUUGACUGAUUGAUUCACUUGGUUACUUCUUGACAAUUGGUUUUUUCUCCUGUUAGUUCAGUACCGAAUGCAUAUGGAUUAUCAGGUUUGUAUAUUUAUCAGUGGAAAAUAUUAUUGCAUUCAUAAAUACACUUUGUUUUAACAUAAAUAUAGCAUGUAUUAAAACAUUCUUCCAUGAUGAUUACUUUCAACUUUUACAAAUUAAAACUAUUACAGGAACCUAGAAAAAGGAUUAUUUUCAAGGUCAUGAAAGAGUACUCAAAGGUCCUCCUCCAUCACUUCAAGUGGCAAAGGCUGUGAACUAUUUAACUUGGUACCCUUCUUUUUAUCCAUCAAGGCCUCUACAUGCUGCUCUUUACUUCCUUUUUGGGUGUAAGUUUUUUUUUCUUCAUAUUUAUGUUUAUCAUUGUGAUUAUUGAUGGUAAGGCCCAGCUCUCUUCGCAUUCAGUUUCUUAAAUCAAUUGGUGUGUUUGCUUUUGUGCUUUUAAUUUAUUUCAUCACUUUCAAGUUGUAGUUACAAGUUCAAAGAUCAAUUGAUUUUUUUUUAAUAUUCCGGAACAUAUGAUGACUAAUAGCUUGUUUGGCCAAGCUGCAAAAAUUAACUUAUUUUGAGAAGUGUUUUUUCUCAAAAGUGCUUUUUUCAAAAGUAUUUUUUGGUGAGAAUCAGUUUGUGUUUGGCUAAUUAAUUUGAAAAGCACUUCUGAGCAGCAAUUAGUAUUUGGCCAAGUUUUUAAAAACUGCUUCUAAGUGUAUUUUUCUUAAAAGUGCUUUUCAAAAAAGUGCUUUUGGAGAGAAGCUACUUUUUUCUGCUUCUCCAAAACUGCUUCUGCUUCUCCUCAAAAGCACUUUUCUUUCUUCAAAAAGCUUGGUCAAACACUUUAACUUUGAAAAAAAAGUACUUCUUUUAAAAAGAAAAGUGCUUUUGGCUUUGGAGAAGCUGGGCCAAACAGGCGAUAAGUCUAGCAUUCAAAAACUUUCCUCUUAGUUAGAAAAGGUAGUAUUGUAAUGCAUGAAAUAACUGGUGAUCGAGGAGGUUUUAUAUUCAUACUUUGAAAGUUCUAGCUUUGAUAUUGCCUAUUAUUUGUGGCUACAAGAGUUGCUUUAAUUUUUAUUUGGCUGAAUAGGUAGGGUGAUUUAUGAUACAAUAACAUGUCGUAGUAUGUACACUUUCGGAAAUAAGUACUUCGUAAAAUUGUACUAUUGUUAGGUAUUGAGUUUUAUUUGUGAAUUGAAGUAUAUAACUCUUUCGCACAGUGUAUUAAUACCAUGAGAUAUUUUUCCGUUCUAUGAGUUUAUCUACUAAGAUUAAGGACAAAUAAAAUAAGAAAUCAAGGAUAGUUUUGCAUAAUUAUUGUAGUGUAUUUGGUAACAGUGGCAUGGUAUAACUUUGUUUGUUUCCUUGGUUAUAAGUCUUUGCAAAUUAAAUAUAAUGUACUACAAAUGUAUUUAUAAAAAAGUGCAAUUUAUGCAAAAAGGGUGACAAGAACAAACCAAAAUUUUGAGGAAAAAAAAAAACAUAUUACCUAGGCUGAGUGCCAUUUCAAACAUAAGGUGCUCUUGCAGAUAGAAUAACACAAAAACGUCAUUAUUGUUACUUAGUUGAUCAACCAUUAGAAGUUUGUUGAUUGACCGUUGUUUGGGAAGUUCUAGAAUAAGUACCAUCUUGAGCUAACUAUCUUGAACACAAUUUUAUGUUUGAUUAUAUCUUCUUCAGUAUUUCGUGAACUCUAAAUUAUUUUCAUUGUUGACUCUGGUAGAAAUUGAUUAUUCAUCAAUGGGAGAUUUAAAAGAACCCCAUGACUGAGGUAUGUAUUAGGUCUUGAGCACUACCAGCUUACUCAAUAUAUUUAGAUAUAAAGAAUGUGUUUUAUUGUAAUUGUCUUGAAGAGUUUGUACUUGAAUUAAACUAUCUACUCAGUUUCCUUUCGAUAUUUGACUUAUGGAACUUCAGUUUGAUACUUUAUGUGAUAAAUACAGUCAAUAAAUCAAUCUAUCUAUGUCUUGAAACAGAGAAGAAACUUUUCAAUUAAGGUUUGUGAAGAAAAUGAGAAAAGCAAAGUGGAUCACUUUUUUAUAUUUCCCUUUUCGUGUAUUAGAAAAUUUUAUUAUUGACAAAGACCACACUAAGAUAAUGCUGAGAUGACAUAAAAGAAAUAUUAAUAUCAGUCCAUAUUUAUUCUUGCAGUGAUGACAAAAAAUAUAUCAAUGUAUUUACUUCAUAUCCUUAUAUGUUCUUUAUAACGAAUGAACUUUUUGUGUCACUUAAUAGUCAUAUGAUAUUAAUGUAUCUUUUUCUUUUAUAUGAGGGAAAGUAAAAUGCAUUGACCAACUUUUCUGGACAUCAUUUGCAUUUCACAUAAGUUGUGUCAGCAUUAGCUUAUCAAAGAAAACAUAAGGCUUAGCAUUUUUUCGAUUUUUUCGUUAAUUGUUAGGUGGUUAAAUCUUAAUGAUAGGAAGAUCCUAUACUGUUUUGAUAAAAUAUUAUAUUUGAUGUAUCUUUAGAUUGUAGUAACAGUGUCUUGCUAUAAAAGGCCAUAAUUUGACUCUUGAGUAUAGUAUUUUUCGAGUAGUUUAUUUGUGGUGAUCGCACUUAUCUCUUUAUGUCGUGAUAUUUUUCAAUUCUUGCUAUCAUUUAAUAUUUUCUAUCUCUAAAUAUUUGACUUCUUAUUCUCUACUUGGAAUAGGACAGGUUGUCUGAAGAACACAUAGUAGCAGAUGUAUGAAUGCAAUACACAAAAUAUUUGCCAUACUUUAUGUGGCUCUUAGUUGGACUAUGUUCUCUUUUGUUUAUAGUACAAACACGGAUAGCAACUGAUAUAUUUAGUUGAUCACGUAGCAUAAGAUAGUGGGUAGAAAACGAUGAAGAAAUAAGGCGUACUUGAGCUUGAGUUUGAUUUUGUAAGUAUAUUUAAAGGAAGUUGAAGAAAAGGAAAUAUUUAGCUCAAUUUUGAUAAAUCUAGGGAAGCAAUAUAUAUUGUUNNNNNNNNNNNNNNNNNNNNNNNNNNNNNNNNNNNNNNNNNNNNNNNNNNNNNNNNNNNNNNNNNUAGCUAUAUUGUCAAUUGAGAAACACUCUUUAGAAGAAAUUGAUUAUAAGAAUAUUAUUAAUAACUUUGCAGCUAAAAAAAGCUAGAAAAAUAGAGUUCACAUAAAAAAAAAUUAAAAAGUUAAGGCUAUCAUAAAGUUUGGCUUUAGACCACAAAAAUCAUCGGACUGGCCUAAUUCUAAACCUUUAUAGUUUUGUAGGUUCGCUAUGUGAAUGCGAUAUUAGACAAGAACAAAACGGGAUCAGAAUUCAAAUUGUUGGGCCCGUGCUAUGCACGGGCAACACUUAUCUAGUACUUAAUAAGUAAGAUUCUUUUUCUUUUGUGAAAAGACUUGGGCACUAUAGGGUUGUGACUUAUCAUCUAUGAUUUGAUGAUUGAGAACUAAAGCAAUCUUUUUGCCCAAUUAACCUUUUGGCUUAGUUGAAGGAUCAAACAUAAGCAGACUAGUUGAGUCUGGUCUACCUGCUGGUAUCCGCUGUUUGUAUAUGAAAAUCCAGUUAACAGCAAUUCAGGCUCUAACCCAAUUCACUUCACUUGGUAAAGAGAGAAUACAAGAAUUAGGAGAAUCACAGUUAAUUCACAUUUCUGUCAGAUCAAAUCAUUAGGGAUGGAAGUUGGGGAUUAUGGGGAAAGGUAAAUUGAACCUAAUCCAUUUUGUUUGACUUUGAAAAUACAUAUGCCGCAUGAUAUUAGCCAUCUAGACAUUCUGAUGUUAUCACAUAUAUAACAGAACAACAAACGCAAGAUGUGCAAAGGAUAAAACAUCCUACUGCAUCACAAAUGUUCUAGGUUAUGUUAAUUAUGCUAUUCGGACACUGAAAACUCAUGUACAUGUGGUACACAUUUUCGACAGACAGAACUAGUCGCUUGCACAACAGGCUGCAAGGGAUAGACACAAUCAAUUUUAUAAGUUUUUUCUAUAUUAGUUCAUAAUUCACUUCAUUAGGUACCAUUGUCUUCUCAUUUUGUAGUCCAUCUGUUGAACCAACUUUCACUAUCUUCUGGGAAUCAGGAAUAGAUCCCGCAAACUGCAUAGUUAUUUAUAUGCUGCAAUAUUACUAGGAGAGAGAUAUCAUUUAUGAAAAGUCAAGAAAUUUAAAUGUCGGGGACUUCAGAAAGAAUCAUGUCUCUAUCUUUCGUACAACUUAAGUCAGUAAUUCCACUGAUAAAAAAAAAGAAAGAAGUAAAGCAGUUCACACAGCACUCAAAGAUCAACAAACAUUAACAAAAAGCACAGUACCUCGUCUUAACAUCCUUCACAUAUCCGUAGGUGCUAUAAUGACAUUUAAGCAUAUAAAAGAACCACGUGUUAUUCGAACAACCAUAGGACCUUUCAUUGAAAUCCCUUUUUCACCUUUUCCAUAGGAAGGCUCCUCCUUCAAUGUCCUCGCUUCAUUGACGUCUUUAACACGUCAUUGUUAAAGAAAGGAAAAAGUUGCUUAUAUGACACGAAGGUUACUAGAUGAGAAGCUUAGAACAUAGAUACUUCCGCGCAUGCUUGACUUAGAAUAACUGCAAAUUAGUAUUCAUAGUUUUUUCACUGCAGAGACCAAUCUCAUAAAGGAAUUUACCAACAAUUUGGACGAGCUUCCUCAACUUAAAAGAGUAUAGAAGGAUGGAGAAAAGCCAUUGCACAAAAAGCGGCUCAAUGUGCAAGUAGAUUAAAUAUAGUAGAACGAAUCUAUGAAUUUAUUGAUUUUGAAUAGCAAACAAGCAAUUGUAAACCCUUGCAUAAUGGGGAACAAAAGAUAAUCAAGUUUAAAGUAAACCAUUGCAUUACGACAUCGCUGUGAUUAAAAGAAAACUAAUUAAACAACGAAUGAUCUUUCAAAUUUGCCUCAAAAUUUACCUUCAAAAAGAAGAAACGCAAAAGACCAUGGAGUGAUAAAUGUUCCUAAUGUAAUAUGUGUGAAUUUCACAAUAACAUCAUGAUAAAAGCUAAACAAUCAAAUUAGGGAAUAAUAACACGCCUAUCGCCGUCAGCUAAAUUUGGGGAAACAGGAAAUAAAACAGAUGAAAAAAAUACUGAAUAGUUUACGAACCUUAAGAAAUCUCGUGAGAGAGCAUCGCCGCCGCCGACCGGCAAAAAGAGUUGAGUUUGGGAGCGAAGCAUCACCGCCGGCGAAGGGGCAAAAAAAAUUUGGACCAUUUCUCGAUUGUGCAUAUCAUCUUUGAGCAGGGGCCAUGCUAAUCUUCUGUGUAUCGUUCCAAACGAACUCCAGUGUUGAGCUUCCGCAAUAUAAACAGAGCAAAAACUUCUUCUGCAGCCCAUGAGGGAGAAUAAUAGCCGGUUUGACCAAGCUGCAAAAACGACCUUAUUUUGAGAAGUAUUUUUUUUCAAAAGUGUUUUAGAGUUUGUGUUUGGCUAAUUAGUUUGAAAAACACUUCUGAGCAGCAAUUAGUUUGGCCAAGCUUUAAAAAAUUACUUCUAAAUGUAUUUUUCUCAAAAGUGCUUCUCAAAAAAGUGUUUUUGGAGAGAAGCUAUUUUUUUCUGUUUCUCCUCAAAAGCACUUUUUUUUUCCUUCCAAAAGUUUGGCCAAACACCUCAAUUUUUGGCCAAAAGUGCUUUUGGCCAAAGGAAGCUUGGCCAAACAG